Long non-coding RNA from Mauremys mutica (yellowpond turtle), 385 nucleotides. RefSeq lists it as uncharacterized. The transcript has 3 exons. The record is from RefSeq and is a predicted model, not a curated record. NCBI's taxonomy places the organism in Eukaryota, Metazoa, Chordata, Testudines, Geoemydidae.
CCAAAGAAGAAUCUUUGUUAGGUGUUUGCAGUUUAUUCGUUCUGAUUCAGUCCUCACAUGUAUGCUAAUUGGUGGAUGGCCGUAUGAUUGGAGAUCCUGUUUAACUGGAUGCAUGAUAAAGGCGUAUGGCCAGAUGAAUAGGGGCUAAUGGGCAUGUGUCCGACCGCCAGGCUGGGCUGAGUUCUGUAGCUGCCUUAGCCCUGGAGGUAGAUGCAUGAAGUGGAGAAGCCAUGGCAGUUGCAGCGGUAAAUGGCUGCAGGAGGAACCUCAGCCCAUCCCAUCCCCUGCACUCGUCAUCAGCGGGCUGAGGCGGCGCAUGUGGGGGCCGGUGACGUGUUAGUAGUCAAAUGGAAAGCAGAGAAAAACAAAGAAAGGGUGAAUGGAG